GUCGGCUCCAAUCCACGCUCGCAGCCAAGACUGGCCGAAGCACAACCAGGAGUGUCGGUUAUUCUCCGCUUCUUCAGCGUAAUUACGACCGUGGUGAAAUUUGUGCACAUGCACACAUACGACAGGUUUCCCUGGUGUCUCAGUAAGGUGUCACCUUCAAGGCUGGGCAGAACAUUGCAAGCUCCUGAGCCCCUAACUUCAGCAUGCAUAAGGAUGGCCCUAUAAUCGUAGCGAAACUGCGCAGAGAGUGGGUUGUUAUUCCAUCCUCCACGUUGACGGAUGCAGCUGAAUAGGAGCUCCAAGUGAUCUUGACUCAGCCUGUAGGUGCAGAUGUACCUGUGCAUUGGGAGGCAUCUCGGUCAAAGAGCAUCUCUGCAAGUUCACCGACACUUUUCAAUGAAAAUGCCAGGCUUAAGACGGACAUCCGCCUCCCAUCCAAGACUGCAAGUUUCCCCGACGGCAAAACAAGUGACAUGAGCUUUCUAGACAUUGCAAGCAUGGUUGUCUUUUGAGAGGAGAAGGACCCUUUGCGGAGGGGAGCCUUGAAAUUUUGGGCUCGUGGGCUAUGUGAGUUGAGGAGGUCAAAGGCUCUGCAAAAGUUUUCGCUGGGAGGCAAGAAGUUAAGAAGCCAAGCUAUUUCUGGUUACCGUCUGGUCUGCAUGCACUGCAGUGCCCUGUGCCCCGACUGCAUGAGACGACGAAGCAGCAUCUUGAGCUCCUGCAGAAGCCGUGGCCUAUAAUAUAACGUAUGAGCUGUGACAUAUAUCUCAUGCUUUUCUCUACAUGCUAUUUGAUUCCGCUUACUUAUUUUUUGUGACACUAUCUUGAAAGAAAUAAUAUUGGGUUAUUACAGAAAGGAUUUUUAUAUGUAUAUUUUUUAUGGCUCAAAUAAAUGUGUGAUACAGGA
Ornithodoros turicata is the source of this 907-nucleotide long non-coding RNA. RefSeq lists it as uncharacterized. The record is from RefSeq and is a predicted model, not a curated record. NCBI's taxonomy places the organism in Eukaryota, Metazoa, Arthropoda, Arachnida, Ixodida, Argasidae. The transcript is spliced from 4 exons.